RNAcentral lists this non-coding RNA (28 nucleotides) under Homo sapiens (human). The record is from RNAcentral. Lineage: Eukaryota; Metazoa; Chordata; Mammalia; Primates; Hominidae.
UGGAGGUCCAUCCUGAUCCUACUUUUUU